CCUACGGGAGGCAGCAGUGAGGAAUAUUGGUCAAUGGCCGGAAGGCUGAACCAGCCAAGUAGCGUGAAGGAUGACUGCCCUACGGGUUGUAAACUUCUUUUAUAAAGGAAUAAAGUGAGGCACGUGUGCCUUUUUGUGUGUACUUGAUGAAUAAGGAUCGGCUAACUCCGUGCCAGCAGCCGCGGUAAUACGGAGGAUCCGAGCGUUAUCCGGAUUUAUUGGGGUUAAAGGGAGCGUAGAUGGGUUGUUAAGUCAGUUGUGAAAGUUUGGGGCUUAACCGUAAAAUUGCAAUUGAUACUGGCAGUCUUGAGUACAGUUGAGGUAGGCGGAAUUCGCGGUGUAGCGGUGAAAUGCUUAGAUAUCACGAAGAACUCCGAUUGCGAAGGCAGCUUACUAGACUGCCACUGACAUUGAUGCUCGAAAGUGUGGGUAUCAAACAGGAUUAGAUACCCCUGUAGUC
This 460-nucleotide ribosomal RNA is filed under the name uncultured bacterium. Its description in RNAcentral is "partial 16S ribosomal RNA". It matches the Rfam family "Bacterial small subunit ribosomal RNA", at positions 338 to 795 of the family's 1533-position model. The record is from RNAcentral.